RNAcentral lists this long non-coding RNA (521 nucleotides) under Ananas comosus (pineapple). RNAcentral's name for it is "long non-coding RNA (ACOM_LNC012130)". Lineage: Eukaryota; Viridiplantae; Streptophyta; Magnoliopsida; Poales; Bromeliaceae. The record is from RNAcentral.
UGCAAGUUGAUAACAUAUCUCAUAUGAAGAUAAUGACUUGAAAUAUGUACCUUGGAACAUACUUAUUAUGCUUGGACAUAGAGGACCAAGUGUCAUAAAGGGGCACUCGAAACUAGUAAACUAUGAAACUGCAACAUAGAAACAUAUUGAUAGGCCAUUUUACAUCUGCUAUAUUUCAUGUUAGAGACAUGAUAAUAUAGGGAUAGGCCAUUGAGAUAUUCGAUAUAUUUCAUGUUUUUAGACAUGAGGACUUGGUACUUGAGACAGAUCAUUGCUUGUUUGCCAUUGUGCUCAUUCGCACAUGCUUGUGAGGGUCGCUCCCUACAAGCCGGCACUCCGGAGAUAGCCAUCGCGAAAUAUGCUCGCCCGUGCGGGAUUGGGCGCCGAAAUGGGAUGCCGUGGGGGAGGCUCAUUCCUAGAGUGGGGAUGUUGACUAUCACGGCGCCAUUAGGCACGGCGCAGGCGAGACAGCCUUCGGGUGGGUCUUAUAUGAUUGGAACUUAGUGACGUGCUAUGUGAAC